RNAcentral lists this unclassified non-coding RNA (385 nucleotides) under uncultured bacterium. RNAcentral's name for it is "contains 16S-23S intergenic spacer region". The record is from RNAcentral.
UCCGAGUUGACCCCGGCAGUCUCCUGCGAGUCCCCGGCCGAACCGCUGGCAACAUGGAACGGGGGUUGCGCUCGUUGCGGGACUUAACCCAACAUCUCACGACACGAGCUGACGACAGCCAUGCAGCACCUGUGUACCCGUUUGGACCGAAGCCCAAAAAACUGUGUUUCCACAGCGGUCAAGUACAUGUCAAGCCUAGGUAAGGUUCCUCGCGUAGUGUCGAAUUAAACCACAUGUUCCACCGCUUGUGCGGACCCCCGUCAAUUCCUUUGAGUUUUAGCCUUGCGGCCGUACUCCCCAGGCGGGGUGCUUAAUGCGUUAGCUUCGGCACGGAGGGAGUCGACACCCCCCACACCUAGCACCCAUCGUUUACGGCGUGGACUAC